UCCCAAAGCACUGGGGUUACAGGCAUGAACCACCACAUCCGGCCCACACUUGACACAUCUAUCUACAGAGUCGCUCAAGGCAAGAAGACCCAGUGCCAGCAAGACUGAAACAAAAAAGCAAAAGAGCUUUUAAGAGCAAGCCUUCUGACUCAGAACCUGCUCCCGGACCUCCCCGUGGUCUCCCUGGACCAGUGCUGUGACUCUGGGGGAACGCCAGGGAAGGAAGAGAGGAA
This 233-nucleotide long non-coding RNA is filed under the name Macaca mulatta (Rhesus monkey). Its description in RNAcentral is "lncRNA (ENSMMUG00000056124.1)". The record is from RNAcentral. Lineage: Eukaryota; Metazoa; Chordata; Mammalia; Primates; Cercopithecidae.